GCGGGGGGCUCGGCUGGGGCGCGCCAGGGGGCACGGGGCCAGCAGCAAGCUGGGGCCUGCUGACGAGGUUUUGCCUGUAAUUAGUGGUGGGGCAGGAGCCGCCCAAAGCUCACUCUCUGCAUUUUCACACGCACACCCCUUGUGCCCUUCCCGGCCCUGGGGGGAGAUUUCCCGGGGGGAUUUGGUUCCUUUUGGAGUUUCCCCAUCCCAAUAUGUUUCCCCCCUGGUCCCACAGUGUCCCCACAAUUUCAGUUGCCCCCUCCCUAUUUCUGGUCAAAGCUCCAACAUAGCACAUUCUGGGGAGGGCAUCACUUUACUUUUUUUUUAAGGGGGAGACGUUUUCCCAGAGUGUGGGAUGAGGUGACGGAGAGGGACAGAUACAUCUUCCCCCUCUCCUCCAGCUCUUCCCCAUCCAUUUAUGCAGAUUUCUCCCCAAAAUGUGACCUUACCUCUGAUUACUUCAUCCAAAAACCCAAUUCUCCCCAUUGUGCAGCACAGUGGGACAAAGACCCCUACUCCCUUUGCAGCCCCCACUGGAACUGCACUGCAUUUCUGCAAAGCUCGAGGGCUUCACACUUGUUUUCCUUUGUUCCUUUUUUGCAUCCCGACCCCAGGGAGAUGCUCUGCACCCCAAAUCCUGGAGGCAAAGCCAGGCAGCGGUGCAGCCCCAUAUCCUCCCAUUGCCCAUUGGUGCAGCCCCUCUCUGCUCCUCAUUGGCCCCACUUUGGGGACUCUGUUCACAGAACUGCAGGUCCUGAGUGGGGAGCUCUGCCUCCUAUUUUUUGGGGUGCUCAGAGAGGGAGUGCAGGGCUCUCCCUAUGGGGCAGUGGCUGGGCUCUGAGCUUUGGAAGUUGCCCACCAUUCUCCCUGCGUGGCACACAGGGCUCAUUCUGCACUGCAGCUGGAGCCGCUUUCCGAUGGCCACAAGGCACUCCACGCCAUCACCAAAAGAAAACAGUUGCCCUGAUGGAUGCCACCGACGGAGGGCUACGGUUCCCAGAAGAAGGUGUUGCCUGUGAGCAAGGAUAAGCGGGGAUCCUCGGUUUGAUGGCACCUUCAGACACCUCCG
Molecule: long non-coding RNA, 1069 nt
Filed under: Phasianus colchicus (ring-necked pheasant)
Lineage: Eukaryota; Metazoa; Chordata; Aves; Galliformes; Phasianidae
Description: lncRNA (ENSPCLG00000011495.1)
Source: RNAcentral